AUACGGAGGAUCCGAGCGUUAUCCGGAUUUAUUGGGUUUAAAGGGUGCGCAGGCGGCCAUUUAAGUCAGCGGUUAAAUCGUGGGGCUCAACCCCAUUCUGCCGUUGAUACUGGGUGGCUUGAUUGCGGUCGAGGUUGGCGGAAUUCGUUGUGUAGCGGUGAAAUGCAUAGAUAUGACGAAGAACACCGAUUGCGUAGGCAGCCGACCAGACCGCAAAUGACGCUCAUGCACGAAAGUGCGGGGAUCGAACAGGAUUAGAUACCCUGGUAGUCCGCACAGUAAACGAUGAAUACUUGUUUUCGGCGAUAUAAUGUCGGAGGCAAAGCGAAAGCGAUAAGUAUUCCACCUGGGGAGUACGCCGGCAACGGUGAAACUCAAAGGAAUUGACGGGG
RNAcentral lists this ribosomal RNA (392 nucleotides) under uncultured bacterium. Its description in RNAcentral is "partial 16S ribosomal RNA". It matches the Rfam family "Bacterial small subunit ribosomal RNA", at positions 523 to 918 of the family's 1533-position model. The record is from RNAcentral.